CACACACACACACACACACACACACACACACAUAUCUGUACAUAUGAGGGACCAGGAAACUAUGCUGGUCCUAUGGAGGACAUUUGUCCUCAGCCGUCUGGACUACUGCUCUCAACUAUGGUCACCCUACACUGUAGGAUUAAUAACAGAACUUGAG
Molecule: long non-coding RNA, 157 nt
Organism: Octopus sinensis (East Asian common octopus)
Lineage: Eukaryota; Metazoa; Mollusca; Cephalopoda; Octopoda; Octopodidae
Exons: 3
Source: RefSeq, a predicted model, not a curated record